This is a long non-coding RNA of Triticum dicoccoides, 4780 nucleotides long. RefSeq lists it as uncharacterized. The transcript has 3 exons. The record is from RefSeq and is a predicted model, not a curated record. Lineage: Eukaryota; Viridiplantae; Streptophyta; Magnoliopsida; Poales; Poaceae.
UUUGCCUCUGAUUUGGAGGGGAUUUGCUUUAGGGUUUCGAAUUGGGAAUUUUCAGGAGUUAGGGUUCGAUUGGAUUGGGGAAAAAUUUGCUUUCUUUGACUUCACCAAUUCAUCACGAUCUAACUGCUAAUCAGUGACUAAUACCGGUGCAAAUUUACAAAUUUUGAUGCGGAAACGUGCUAGCACCAAUCCAAUAGAAAAUUAGAUCUAAAUCAAAACCAAUUAACCCUAGGCAUUAAACGUUGACCUUAAAAGGGGAAACUGACUAUAAACACCACCAUUAACCUUUAGCAGCGAUCGUCUGGACUUAAUUGACCACUUUGACAUAACCAGAGGAUCAACAGGGAUCUAAUCAAGGCAUUAAGCGGCUCAAGAUACCAUUGUUAAUAUAUAAUAUAGUAGGAUUUACUUAAAAGAAACGUUUAGCCUAGACUUUAGAUCGCCUAAAACGUGAUGAACAAAGGAUGGUUUGUAUCUUACCACCAAUGGAGGAAGCCAUUGGUGUAGGGGAUGCAAAGUCCCGUGCCUGGUUGAUGCAAGCUUGGUGUAGGUACUCGCUGCGGAUAGCGGCGUCCCUCUGGGCGUCAGCGGUACUGCCCUGGCAACGCAGCAGAGGGAGGAGAAGGGGUUUUAGCAUUUAGGAAGGCAGAGUAGACGCACAUGAACUGAGUCAGAUCGUGCGUGGCUGGCUGGCCCUCUCUUUAUAUGUGGCCCUAGCGAUGAAGGGACCUCAACCACGUUGGUUUGUGUCGCCCGCGAUCAGGGCGCUUUAGUUGGGGUCGAGGCGUAAGAACGUUCGUUCGUGACCUGCCUGUUUCCCUCUUUAACGUAACUUGUUUUUGGUCUUUUUUUGGCCCAGUGGGCCUUUAGAUAAAAUACCAACAAUCCCAUCUAAUCUGCUAGCACUUGAGCGCACAUCAGUCGCACACAACCCCCGUGUUCUUAGAGGGUGUUUGUUUUCAGGGACUUAUUAGUUUAGGGACUUAAAAAAGUCCCUAUAAGUCCCAUCUAAACCAAACAGGAGGGACUUAUAGGGGCUUAAAGUGGGCAUUUGGGACUUAUGAAAUAAGACUCUCAAGGAGAGUCUUAUAGGGACUUAUAGUUGUAAUAUGAUCUUUUAGUCCAUGUUAAGUCCCAUGAACCAAACAGGUAGGACCUUUUUAGGGACUUGAGACUUAUAAGUUGGGACUAAAAAAAAUCUUAGGACUUAUGAACCAAACAGGGCCUUAUUGCUUCACGUGGUUAGCAGACAUAGCCGCCACCUCCUCUCUCAAGCUUAGGGUUUUUUCUGCCUCCCAUCGGCGCCGUCGCCAAUCCGCCUUGUCUCUGGUGGUCUUAGAUCCAUGGUGACGCGGGGGAUCCUGCACCUUGUCGAUGGAGGUCCCCUUUAUAGACAUUCCUUUAAGUUUUGUUAGGGUUUGUGGCCUACUCAAGAAGGCGAAACGGUUGCGGCUUCUUGAAGAUAGAAUAAGGUUCUCCCCGCCUAGCCUCCAUUCCGGUGAUGUUUCUAGCAUCAUUGGCGGGCGUGUGGAGGUGUCUCUCCGGUGGAUCUGUUUUGGAUGGAUCUGCUCGGAUCUGUUAGUCGUUCGUCUUUGUUCAUGUGUCUUCAAGUUGGAUCCUUCCGUUAUAUGCUACUUUUCAUCGGCGUCAGUUACUGUUCUGAUGCGCGGGCAUUAGCACAACGACUUCCUGACUGUAUAAUACAACAAGGUAUGUCUGGCUCCGGAGAGGGAGGGGCGAUGACGGCGGCGCCUUUGGCUCACUAUAAUGCUUGUAGUUGUUGCUAGGUGGUCCAUAGAUCGGGUUGUAAUUUUUAUUACCUCUUGUGUUCUCUGUACUGCCAUGAUUGUCGCAUAGAUCUGGAUGUAAUUAUUUAUUAUUUCUUUUGUUUGUUGUACUUCCAUGAUUGAAAAUGAAUAACGGAUGUUUUCCCGCAAAAAAGAAACUCUUACAGUCUCUUCCUGUUGAGUAUCGUGAUUAGUUAGGAAAUAUGAGAUAGACUAUGAUAUGCUUUGUCUUGUCUUGUACUCCAAGUUGAUCAUGUACUCCUAUGUAUAUACCCAUGAGGCUCAAGCCAUAAUCAUCUAUUCCACCAACCCCUCUCUAUCCCUUCUAACACUCCAUACCCCUUCUUCACCUCCUUACACAAACCUAUGUUCACCUCACAACUCGUGCGCGCCGCCUCCGGCAUAGUGGGGGUAGUAAGGGAAGAUAACGUAGGGCUGUCUGCAUAUCUGUAACAUGGCUAUAUUGUGUCAGAAAAACAUGAUCAUAGGACUACUUAAUUUUUUCUACAGUUUACGCAAAAAAUUGUUAUUGUCCACAUUUAUAAUUAGCCAAAAAUAUCCCAGAUUUCUUUGUGGAAAAACUAUAUUUUAACUCUUUCUUCAUCAUGUAAUUUUUAUAACACGAAAUUGAAUACUACUAGAAAAUACGUGAACCCAAGAUCUAAGAUGUGUUUUAGAGUCCAGGUCGUGGUGAAAUUCAUCACACUCCUGCUGUUGAUUGCUCGUGGAGACACAUGCUUGAUCGAUCGACACCUACAGGCGGACUACAGCGGUACUGCCUCGCUGCUCCACUCUACUCUAUGGAAUUUGAAUUAAUGGGCUAAGUUCGGGUCGUGUGCAGAUGCCUAUCAAGAUAGAUCGAUGGAUUGGGCUGCAAGGCGUUAUUGGCAAUACAGGAGUAAGAUAAAUCCACGCUACUGUUGCCCGGAGCUCAGCUCUGACCGCAUCCUCCCUGGGCCAACCAAUCCCACAUCUGCCUCUGCCGCGUACCUAUUUGGCUAAACAGCAAUCUCAGUUUGAACGACUGAUUGCCCAGAUAAUGAUGAGGAAUGAAUGUUCCCUCUGGGACAAUGCUUCAUAGUGACAACAUAAUAGAUCUGUGAACCCGCGUAUUGCUUCCUGGUUGUCUCUCAAGCCUAGCUAGCUGCUCCAACGUGCGUAACAUGCAUGAUCCAUCGCUUAAAAGAAAAUAAAAAUCUCCUAGUUGCUCUCAGCUAGCACCUCCGACUUACUACUCCAUCAUUCUGUAAUUUAUAGAGCUCCCUAUCAAUACAUGCCAGCCAAUAUUUAUCUGUCAAAAGUAAUGAAGAUUAGUACUUUUGGUCAAUAAUUUCUCCUAGGGGGGCUUGUGGCUUGAUCUGAUAAAGGCUAAAUAUCUACGAGGACAGUCCUUUGCCAUGUGCUCUCAGUCGAGGAGGUCCUUGUUUUGGAAGGGGUACCAAGACCCCGUUUUGGCUGGACUGCUGGGUGGGCCCGAGCCCCAUGCGUAUGUAGCUCCCGUCCCUGUUCAUGAUAUCUAACCAAUAUGGCUAUUCAUCGCUUAAACAUUGCUUCUGCUGAGCAGCGGUGACCGUAGGAAGGGUUACCGAGACCCUGUUUUGGCUGACUGCUGGGUGGGCCCGGGCCCCCUGCGUGUACAGCUACUUCCCUUGCUCGCAAUAUCUAACCAACCAUCUAUUUUGGUUGCCUUGGCAUUUCAGGAUGGGGGCAACACCUUGACUUUCCGGAGAUCGUUUGGUCCGGCCGAAUCCGGACAAUAUAUCACCGGGAUGGCUGAGCGGUAUCAGCUAAGAUAUGUAAAGGUUGAUGGCACUCGGCCGACGCGAUGGAGUCUUUCCCAUAAAGUGUCGGCUGGCUAUCCACAGUGCGACAUAGGCUCAACUGCAGCCACAUCUAUGGCUGCUCACGGAGUUCAUUUCUGGCGUUCUUCAUCUCUAUGCGAUUGCCAUCUAGCCGGCGAUGAGCUGUCAGCCGGUUUGCUUCAUGCCGAACACAAGGUGCUCGAUGGAAUUCCUACAAGGUAAAGAAAAUGUAGUGCUUUUCUUUGCAUAUGCAGCGAAGAUUGAGCUUCAUAGAUAGUUUAUAUUGUGGAUGAGCUCAUGAUACUCCAAUUUUUGCGACGAUUCCUUGUCGGAUGAGGAGUUUCACUAGGAAUAGUAGGCGGAAGAUCUCGCGUUGAUCAUGACAACGCACAAGAACAAGAGUCCGAAGCAUGGCGCGGUUUAAUUUACGACUGCGAGUAUUUAUGAAACGAAUGGAACAGGUGAACGAGCGAUUGAUGUGCAACUACUUUGGGCCAAAUCCUCACUAUCCAAAGAGUUAGUGAAUAGAGAACUUCUGCCGGCGACCUUCCAAGCAAAUCGCCGCACCCACAACUUCGGGUACUACCUAGCAGAUGGGAUCUAUCCAAGGGGGCAGUUAGCAAUUAUGCGGAGAUGGCAUUUUGGAUUUUGCAAUCCCAAUUUGCCAUUGUGUGAGGACCGGCUAGAUUUUGGAAUCAAGUGAUCCUUUGGUACAUCAUAACAACUCUCAUGAUGUGGCACAACAUGAUCAUUAAAAAUGAGCGUGGGCAAGAUUUGAUUUACACCUUGUAUGACCUCAUGGGAAUACCCGUGCGGCCGGCCAGAAGGAAAGGCCGGAUCAAACGCUUUCUUCAGGUGUACCAUGACAUUAGAGAUGCGGAUGCACAUAUAUGGAACACUUUCUUCAGGUGUACCAUGAGUCCAUGACAUUAGGAAUGCGGAUGGGCACUAUGAUCUUCAUAAAGAACUCAUAGAGGAGUGGUGGACAUGGCUAUCCUUGGUGCACCUUUAUCCUUGUUCAUCAAACCAUAGUUGCAUCUCUAUCCUUGUUGUAUUUGUCUGACAAACUUUGUUGUAUUGUGUGCUAAAAAGUUUGUUGUCGAGUUUAAUUUGAUGAACUAUGUUGUUGAUUUGAAGAACUAUGUAAUAUUUUGAUGAUGUGGAUUGAUAAAAUUAUUGUUGUGUUCGUUU